AUUGAACGCUGGCGGCAUGCCUUACACAUGCAAGUCGAACGGCAGCACGGGAGCAAUCCUGGUGGCGAGUGGCGAACGGGUGAGUAAUGUAUCGGAACGUACCUUUCAGUGGGGGAUAACGUAGCGAAAGUUACGCUAAUACCGCAUAUUCUGUGAGCAGGAAAGCAGGGGAUCGCAAGACCUUGCGCUGAUUGAGCGGCCGAUAUCAGAUUAGCUAGUUGGUGAGGUAAAGGCUCACCAAGGCGACGAUCUGUAGCGGGUCUGAGAGGAUGAUCCGCCACACUGGAACUGAGACACGGUCCAGACUCCUACGGGAGGCAGCAGUGGGGAAUUUUGGUACAAUAGGGCGGCAAGACCUGAUCCAGCACUGCCGCGUGAGUGAAGAAGGCC
This 390-nucleotide ribosomal RNA is filed under the name uncultured bacterium. RNAcentral's name for it is "bacterial SSU rRNA". It matches the Rfam family "Bacterial small subunit ribosomal RNA", at positions 30 to 416 of the family's 1533-position model. The record is from RNAcentral.